RNAcentral lists this unclassified non-coding RNA (138 nucleotides) under uncultured Hebeloma. Its description in RNAcentral is "sequence contains ITS2". The stretch from base 10 to 124 matches the Rfam family "5.8S ribosomal RNA", at positions 40 to 154 of the family's 154-position model. Rfam says of the family: 5.8S ribosomal RNA (5.8S rRNA) is a component of the large subunit of the eukaryotic ribosome. It is transcribed by RNA polymerase I as part of the 45S precursor that also contains 18S and 28S rRNA. Functionally, it is thought that 5.8S rRNA may be involved in ribosome translocation. The record is from RNAcentral. Lineage: Eukaryota; Fungi; Basidiomycota; Agaricomycetes; Agaricales; Cortinariaceae.
GCAUCCCCUUUAACGCAGCGAAAUGCGAUAAGUAAUGUGAAUUGCAGACUUCAGUGAAUCAUCGAAUCUUUGAACGCACCUUGCGCUCCUUGGUAUUCCGAGGAGCAUGCCUGUUUGAGUGUCAUUAAAUUCUCAACC